RNAcentral lists this ribosomal RNA (430 nucleotides) under Pseudomonadota bacterium. RNAcentral's name for it is "Proteobacteria bacterium partial 16S ribosomal RNA". It matches the Rfam family "Bacterial small subunit ribosomal RNA", at positions 355 to 776 of the family's 1533-position model. The record is from RNAcentral. Lineage: Bacteria; Pseudomonadati; Pseudomonadota.
UGGGGAAUAUUGGACAAUGGGCGAAAGCCUGAUCCAGCCAUGCCGCGUGUGUGAAGAAGGCCUUUUGGUUGUAAAGCACUUUAAGCGAGGAGGAGGCUACUAGUACUAAUACUACUGGAUAGUGGACGUUACUCGCAGAAUAAGCACCGGCUAACUCUGUGCCAGCAGCCGCGGUAAUACAGAGGGUGCGAGCGUUAAUCGGAUUUACUGGGCGUAAAGCGUGCGUAGGCGGCUGAUUAAGUCGGAUGUGAAAUCCCUGAGCUUAACUUAGGAAUUGCAUUCGAUACUGGUCAGCUAGAGUAUGGGAGAGGAUGGUAGAAUUCCAGGUGUAGCGGAGAAAUGCGUAGAGAUCUGGAGGAAUACCGAUGGCGAAGGCAGCCAUCUGGCCUAACACUGACGCUGAGGUACGAAAGCAUGGGGAGCAAACAGG